This 1372-nucleotide ribosomal RNA is filed under the name uncultured bacterium. RNAcentral describes it as "bacterial SSU rRNA". It matches the Rfam family "Bacterial small subunit ribosomal RNA", at positions 28 to 1381 of the family's 1533-position model. The record is from RNAcentral.
GAUGAACGCUGGCGGCGUGCCUAAUACAUGCAAGUCGAGCGAACGGACGAGAAGCUUGCUUCUCUGAUGUUAGCGGCGGACGGGUGAGUAACACGUGGAUAACCUACCUAUAAGACUGGGAUAACUUCGGGAAACCGGAGCUAAUACCGGAUAAUAUUUUGAACCGCAUGGUUCAAAAGUGAAAGACGGUCUUGCUGUCACUUAUAGAUGGAUCCGCGCUGCAUUAGCUAGUUGGUAAGGUAACGGCUUACCAAGGCAACGAUGCAUAGCCGACCUGAGAGGGUGAUCGGCCACACUGGAACUGAGACACGGUCCAGACUCCUACGGGAGGCAGCAGUAGGGAAUCUUCCGCAAUGGGCGAAAGCCUGACGGAGCAACGCCGCGUGAGUGAUGAAGGUCUUCGGAUCGUAAAACUCUGUUAUUAGGGAAGAACAUAUGUGUAAGUAACUGUGCACAUCUUGACGGUACCUAAUCAGAAAGCCACGGCUAACUACGUGCCAGCAGCCGCGGUAAUACGUAGGUGGCAAGCGUUAUCCGGAAUUAUUGGGCGUAAAGCGCGCGUAGGCGGUUUUUUAAGUCUGAUGUGAAAGCCCACGGCUCAACCGUGGAGGGUCAUUGGAAACUGGAAAACUUGAGUGCAGAAGAGGAAAGUGGAAUUCCAUGUGUAGCGGUGAAAUGCGCAGAGAUAUGGAGGAACACCAGUGGCGAAGGCGACUUUCUGGUCUGUAACUGACGCUGAUGUGCGAAAGCGUGGGGAUCAAACAGGAUUAGAUACCCUGGUAGUCCACGCCGUAAACGAUGAGUGCUAAGUGUUAGGGGGUUUCCGCCCCUUAGUGCUGCAGCUAACGCAUUAAGCACUCCGCCUGGGGAGUACGACCGCAAGGUUGAAACUCAAAGGAAUUGACGGGGACCCGCACAAGCGGUGGAGCAUGUGGUUUAAUUCGAAGCAGCGCGAAGAACCUUACCAAAUCUUGACAUCCUUUGACAACUCUAGAGAUAGAGCUUUCCCCUUCGGGGGACAAAGUGACAGGUGGUGCAUGGUUGUCGUCAGCUCGUGUCGUGAGAUGUUGGGUUAAGUCCCGCAACGAGCGCAACCCUUAAGCUUAGUUGCCAUCAUUAAGUUGGGCACUCUAAGUUGACUGCCGGUGACAAACCGGAGGAAGGUGGGGAUGACGUCAAAUCAUCAUGCCCCUUAUGAUUUGGGCUACACACGUGCUACAAUGGACAAUACAAAGGGCAGCGAAACCGCGAGGUCAAGCAAAUCCCAUAAAGUUGUUCUCAGUUCGGAUUGUAGUCUGCAACUCGACUACAUGAAGCUGGAAUCGCUAGUAAUCGUAGAUCAGCAUGCUACGGUGAAUACGUUCCCGGGUCU